RNAcentral lists this ribosomal RNA (199 nucleotides) under uncultured bacterium. RNAcentral's name for it is "partial 16S ribosomal RNA". It matches the Rfam family "Bacterial small subunit ribosomal RNA", at positions 1303 to 1500 of the family's 1533-position model. The record is from RNAcentral.
GUCUGCAACUCGACUACAUGAAGCUGGAAUCGCUGGUAAUCGCAGAUCAGAAUGCUGCGGUGAAUACGUUCCCGGGUCUUGUACACACCGCCCGUCACACCAUGGGAGUCGGAAAUGCCCGAAGCCGGUGACCCAACCAAAAGGAGGGAGCCGUCGAAGGCAGGUCUGAUAACUGGGGGUGAAGUCGUAACAAGGUAUC